UUAAGCGGUGUUCUAGGUUC
This 20-nucleotide non-coding RNA is filed under the name Arabidopsis thaliana (thale cress). The record is from RNAcentral. Lineage: Eukaryota; Viridiplantae; Streptophyta; Magnoliopsida; Brassicales; Brassicaceae.